UCCGUAGGUGAACCUGCGGAAGGAUCAUUACCGAGUGAGGGCCCUCUGGGUCCAACCUCCCACCCGUGUUUAUUUUACCUUGUUGCUUCGGCGAGCCUGCCUUUUGGCUGCCGGGGGACGUCUGUCCCCGGGUCCGCGCUCGCCGAAGACACCUUAGAACUCUGUCUGAAGAUUGUAGUCUGAGAUUAAAUAUAAAUUAUUUAAAACUUUCAACAACGGAUCUCUUGGUUCCGGCAUCGAUGAGGAACGCAGCGAAAUGCGAUACGUAAUGUGAAUUGCAGAAUUCAGUGAAUCAUCGAGUCUUUGAACGCACAUUGCGCCCUCUGGUAUUCCGGAGGGCAUGCCUGUCCGAGCGUCAUUGCUGCCCUCAAGCACGGCUUGUGUGUUGGGCUCCGUCCUCCUUCCGGGGGACGGGCCCGAAAGGCAGCGGCGGCACCGCGUCCGGUCCUCAAGCGUAUGGGGCUUUGUCACCCGCUUUGUAGGACUGGCCGGCGCCUGCCGAUCAACCAAACUUUUUUCCAGGUUGACCUCGGAUCAGGUAGGGAUACCCGCUGAACUUAAGCAUAUCAAUAAGCGGAGGA
RNAcentral lists this ribosomal RNA (581 nucleotides) under Penicillium brevicompactum. RNAcentral describes it as "eukaryotic LSU rRNA". The stretch from base 205 to 358 matches the Rfam family "5.8S ribosomal RNA". Lineage: Eukaryota; Fungi; Ascomycota; Eurotiomycetes; Eurotiales; Aspergillaceae. The record is from RNAcentral.